AGAAAGAGAGAGAGAAAGUUGUGGUGAAGAUAGAGUACAACAUGGGUCGCCACCAUCCACUGCCGGAGAGUCGUGGAGCUUUUAGGCGUUUUCGCUCAAUAAACACACACAACACCUGGUCUGGGAAUCGAAACCGCGAUCCUCCGACCGCGAAUUCGUUGCCCAAAACACUGGGCCAUUGCGCCUC
Molecule: long non-coding RNA, 187 nt
Organism: Octopus sinensis (East Asian common octopus)
Lineage: Eukaryota; Metazoa; Mollusca; Cephalopoda; Octopoda; Octopodidae
Exons: 4
Source: RefSeq, a predicted model, not a curated record